GGAGCAAACAGGAUUAGAUACCCUGGUAGUCCACGCUGUAAACGAUGUCGAUUUGAAGGUUGUUCCCUUGAGGAGUGGCUUUCGGAGCUAACGCGUUAAAUCGACCGCCUGGGGAGUACGGCCGCAAGGUUAAAACUCAAAUGAAUUGACGGGGGCCCGCACAAGCGGUGGAGCAUGUGGUUUAAUUCGAUGCAACGCGAAGAACCUUACCUACUCUUGACAUCCAGAGAACUUAGCAGAGAUGCUUUGGUGCCUUCGGGAACUCUGAGACAGGUGCUGCAUGGCUGUCGUCAGCUCGUGUUGUGAAAUGUUGGGUUAAGUCCCGCAACGAGCGCAACCCUUAUCCUUUGUUGCCAGCGAUUCGGUCGGGAACUCAAAGGAGACUGCCGGUGAUAAACCGGAGGAAGGUGGGGAUGACGUCAAGUCAUCAUGGCCCUUACGAGUAGGGCUACACACGUGCUACAAUGGCGUAUACAAAGAGAAGCGACCUCGCGAGAGCAAGCGGAACUCAUAAAGUACGUCGUAGUCCGGAUUGGAGUCUGCAACUCGACUCCAUGAAGUCGGAAUCGCUAGUAGUCGUAGAUCAGAAUGCUACGGUGAAUACGUUCCCGGGCCUUGUACACACCGCCCGUCACACCAUGGGAGUGGGUUGCAAAAGAAGUAGGUAGCUUAACCUUCGGGAGGGCGCUUACCACUUUGUGAUUCAUGACUGGGGUGAAGUCGUA
RNAcentral lists this ribosomal RNA (725 nucleotides) under uncultured bacterium. Its description in RNAcentral is "bacterial SSU rRNA". It matches the Rfam family "Bacterial small subunit ribosomal RNA", at positions 765 to 1490 of the family's 1533-position model. The record is from RNAcentral.